Molecule: ribosomal RNA, 462 nt
Filed under: uncultured bacterium
Lineage: Bacteria
Description: partial 16S ribosomal RNA
Rfam family: Bacterial small subunit ribosomal RNA
Source: RNAcentral
AACCAACGCUGGCGGCGUGCCUAAUACAUGCAAGUCGAACGGGGAAAGCUUUCGGGUGAGUUCUAGUGGCGCACGGGUGAGGAACGCGUGGAUAAUCUGCCUUAGAGUGGGGGAUAACUAGUCGAAAGAUUAGCUAAUACCGCAUAAGACCACGAGAGCUGCGGCUUUUGAGGUCAAAGGUUUUUCGCUCUAAGAUGAGUCCGCGUAAGAUUAGCUAGUUGGUGAGGUAACGGCUCACCAAGGCGACGAUCUUUAACUGGUCUGAGAGGAUGAUCAGUCACACUGGAACUGAGACACGGUCCAGACUCCUACGGGAGGCAGCAGUAGGGAAUAUUGCACAAUGGAGGAAACUCUGAUGCAGCGACGCCGCGUGAGUGAUGAAGGCCUUCGGGUCGUAAAGCUCUGUCGCAGGGGAAUAACACAAUGAAGGUACCCUGUAAGAAAGGAUCGGCUAACUUCGUG